RNAcentral lists this ribosomal RNA (253 nucleotides) under uncultured bacterium. RNAcentral's name for it is "partial 16S ribosomal RNA". It matches the Rfam family "Bacterial small subunit ribosomal RNA", at positions 524 to 776 of the family's 1533-position model. The record is from RNAcentral.
UACAGAGGGUGCUAGCGUUAAUCGGAAUUACUGGGCGUAAAGCGUGUGUAGGUGGUUAGAUAAGUUAGAUGUGAAAUCCCCGGGCUUAACCUGGGGACUGCGUUUAAGACUGUUUAGCUUGAGUACUGUAGAGGAUAGUGGAAUUUCCAGUGUAGCGGUGAAAUGCGUAGAUAUUGGAAGGAACACCAGUGGCGAAGGCGACUAUCUGGACAGAUACUGACACUGAGACACGGAAGCGUGGGGAGCAAACAGG